RNAcentral lists this transfer RNA (67 nucleotides) under Cardiocephaloides medioconiger. RNAcentral describes it as "tRNA-Trp". Lineage: Eukaryota; Metazoa; Platyhelminthes; Trematoda; Diplostomida; Strigeidae. The record is from RNAcentral.
AGUGAGGUAGGUUAUUUUUUGACUAUAUGUUUUCAAAACAUAAGGUGGUAUUUUUUAUCUCUCGCUG